RNAcentral lists this ribosomal RNA (253 nucleotides) under uncultured bacterium. RNAcentral's name for it is "partial 16S ribosomal RNA". It matches the Rfam family "Bacterial small subunit ribosomal RNA", at positions 524 to 776 of the family's 1533-position model. The record is from RNAcentral.
UACAGAGGGUGCGAGCGUUAAUCGGAAUGACUGGGCGUAAAGGGCGCGUAGGCGGUUAGAUAAGUAGGAGGUGAAAUCCCCGGGCUUAACCUGGGAAUUGCUUUUUAGACUGUUUGACUGGAGUGCAUUAGAGGGUAGUGGAAUUUCCGGUGUAGCGGUGAAAUGCGUAGAUAUCGGAAGGAACACCAGUGGCGAAGGCGGCUACCUGGAGUGACACUGACGCUGAGGCGCGAGAGCGUGGGGAGCAAACAGG